This is an RNA transcript of Tachysurus fulvidraco (yellow catfish), 655 nucleotides long. It is a transcript of the gene named phosphoinositide-3-kinase, regulatory subunit 5, with no coding region annotated. The record is from RefSeq and is a predicted model, not a curated record. Lineage: Eukaryota; Metazoa; Chordata; Actinopteri; Siluriformes; Bagridae. The transcript has 5 exons.
UAAACACACUUCCUGUUUCAGCACUAUCUGAGUCGUGUGUAUAUGUGUGAGUGUGUGUUUGUGAGUGUGUGCAUGUAUAUGUGCGUUUGAAGCAGAUGAAGCUGCUGCAACAAACAGAAAUGUUUUCUGGUAUUCUGUGGAUAUGAAGUGAAGACCAUCUGAUCUCUGACCUGCAGAAACAUGGGGAGUGUGUGACAGCCACAGGAAGUGUGAAGAUGCAGCACACCUCGUGCACAGAGGAUCGGAUCCAGCACGCUCUGGAUCGUUGCCUUGAUGGUCUCCGAUCAUCUGAACUCCUCUCUCAGUCCUGGAACACUGGAUGGUGUAUGAACCGCUGGAGUUUGGAGGAACUCCUGAAAAGAGAUCCAGAAAACUUUCUCAUCCUCCUGCAGCAGAUUCUCAAGAAAGCAAGACAGGUGCAGGAGGAGUGUGAGUAUGAAUUGGUGGCUCCUCUCAUGAUCAUGUUUGAGUCCACACUUCUACAGACUCCCUACUGUCCAAUAGAGUGUGACGUCCUGGUAGAAGCAUGUGAAGUGUUUCAUAGUUUCCUCACGUGGCCUGAACCGUACUGCAGUGUGUGUUGUAGUGUUCUAACGACUAUAAAGCAGGAGCUGAAGGCACCAGGUAACACACACAUACAUACACACACACACAC